UCCCCUCCCCGCCCCACCGCGUCCCAGGGAACCCCGGCAGGGCACCCAGUGAGGGGGGCCCGGGCGUCCGCCCAUUCCUCACUGCUGUCCCCGCCUGUGCCCGAAACCCCCGUUCACGUUCACCGAGAAAACAGACAUAAACCCAGCCAGGCACAUCCACUAGAAUGGCUGUGAUUUCAGAAAAGCGGACGUAAGUGCUGCCGAGGAGAUGGAGGCGUUGGACCCCCUCGCGCAUUGUCGGGGCGGGUGCAGCCGCGGUGCAAAAGGACCUUCCUCAGAAAGUUGAGCACGAAGUUCCCACAGGCCCGGAAGUUCCCCUCCCGGGCGCUCCCCAGAGAGCUGAAGACUGGGCGCGUGCCGGCGGCAAAUGUUCACAGCAAAGGGCGGCCCAGUGCGCAGCUGGAACAUCAGCCCCAGGCGGUCGCUGCGACAGGGACGAGCCUGGGAAACGUGAAAAUGUCCAGAACAGGGAAUCCACAGAUAAAGAAAAGACAUCGUGGUUGCCAGAGCUCGCGGGAGGGGGCAACAGGGACCGACUGCUUAACGUGUAUGGUUCCCCUUCAGGAAUAAAUAGGUCAAGCUGGCUGCAGGGCCCACCCCACCGCGGCCUGGAGCAGGGUCUUCUGGGGUGUACCACCUCUGCCCUCACCCAGGCUCCACCACGACCAGCUUCGUCCACCCCCCAGGAGACCAUGAAGGCCCACGUCUGAAAUCCUCACUAAGCCCACCCUCCCAUCUCCCUGAACUACGGAUAACUACCUACAAGUUUUCUGAUUUAUUCAUUAGUGGAUUUGUUCGUGAUCAGCCCCACACCUGUUAGAAUGGAAGCUGCAGGCAGCAGGAACCAGUGUGGCCAAGUCGGAGGGCAGCACAAGCCGGUCCUCCUCGUGGACAGCAGAGGAUAAAACCGAGAAUAAGGAACUUUACAUUGUCAAUGAUCAAACACCUAGUGCACCCAUGGCCGUGCGUCCGCAGGACAAAGCAGCCUUUGGAGCCCUGGAACUUAAGAUGUCCAGAGAUCAGCAGCUCUCGGCUCAGGCCCAGGCAGCUGGACAGCACCCAGCGCCUCCUCCAGGUCCUCCUGGGUCCCCUCCUUUCUUUCACUUUCAGCCCGGGAAUCUCUGUGAAGUCCUAGCUGAUAACUAAGGGGUUAAUGAAUAAUCACAGUGAUGAGCUCUGGAGGAGCCAUGGCCCAGAGCAGCUGUGGCCUCCUUUGAUUAAACCACAGAAGUCCGGAGGAUCAGGCCUCAAACCUCCACCACCUGCCAGCUGGCACCUGUGAAGGAGGUGGGACCAGCACCCACCUCACAGUGGCUGCAGGGUCACCUGAGAUGGUGAUUGCAAAGUGCUGAGCCAUCGGGACACAUAUUUCCAAGACCUCCUGAGUGCCGGCUGGCCCCUGGAGCAGAGAUGAGACCCCUGUGGGGCCUACAGUCCAGUUAUGAAGGCAGGGUUCCUGUGUAAGCCAGCAGGCCCAGUUCUGGAAAGGCCAGGAUGUGGGUUCAGAAGCUCAAGGACAAUGGACUCAUUCUGACUGGAGGGAUCCAGGAAGGCUUCGUGGAGGAAGUGGCAUUUGACAUUGGCAUCAAGGAUGAACAGGAAUAGAGAGAGGGGACUGGUGUCUGCGUGAAGGAUCGCCAAAGCGCUGUUCUGGGGUGAGGGCGAUCAGCCCCUCCUGCCCCUCCUGAACUAUGAGGCUCGGGAGCCUUUGGCAGAAGGUGGCUCUGCACGCCCCAGGUGCAAGCUUGGAGCUUCCUUUUCUGCACUCCACAGCAGGAAGAAGGGCAGUGUGAACUGCUCACCACUGUCUUCCUGGGUUUGCAGCUCUGCGCCUGGCACAGAGACAGGCUCAGUGACGGUUGAAGGAAUCGGAGAAAUAAUGAAAAGUGUGUUCAUCCUGCAGGCAGCAGAGCCUCGGGUUAACCGUUAACGUCAGGAAAUGACAGAUCCAACGCUCCUGCUUGGGGCAGCGUGGAGGCCAGCGGAGGAACUGCAGGAGCCUAAAGGAGAUGGCGCGCGGGCCUGGCUCAGGAGAGCAGCCGUCUGAAAGAUGGCGGCGAAGGGUGCGGGAGGAGAUGCCCCGGGCAGGGGCUUGGCGGGGUCUGGCACCAAACUUCCCAAAGCAGCUGCCUCUGUGAACUGUGCCUGGCAGGGAGGGAGCCACACCGGGAGUGACCCUAGACGCUGGCUCCCCAGGGGUGACUGGAGGCAGUGUCUCCCGCCCAUGUGGGCCUCCGGCUUGGGGUCCCCAGAGCUCUGCCCUGCUGCUGGCUGCACUGAGAGAGGUGGCCUUCUGAAUGGGCCCUGUCCCCGGGGAGCCUCUGGUAAAGAGAUUCACCUGCACCCUCAAAACACGCCAUGCCCAUUGGAGGCUCUGGGUGCAGGCUGCCCCUCAAACAGAGAAAAACCACACGCUGUUUAAGACCCAAACCAAGGAGACAGCCCCUCAUGCCCCCUUCUAUCUCCCCUUCUGUCCAGGGCCCCCUGCCUGCUCUGGUCCACCCCGUCCUGACCCCCUCUGCCUGUUCAUCUGAGGGCCGUGAGCCAAGGCCUGGGCCUGGCCAAGGGUCAGGGAUCCUGGGACCUGCUUGAGACCAUGCCCCAUACACUCCUUCGGCCAGAAGGUCAGCCGUAGAGACAAACCCCCACCCUGAGCCCGCAGUGUCAGCAACGCCCUGUCCUCAGUGCCAGGCAGUGUCAGGCUGAGACCCGGGCCACCUGAUCCAACGUCCACUCCAAGCAAGCCAGAGCCAGGUGCUGCCAGCCUGCCCAUGUGCACACGUUAGCAGACAGGUUUCCUGGUGUGGCACACACGUGUUAUGACCGCGGCUGCUGCCCCCAGCCCAGAGUGCACUUCCGGGUAAUCCAGCACCCUGAGGCUUCACUGCUCUCCUGAGAGUUUUCUAAGAUUAAAUCUCCUUCACAAUGACAGCCUCCUGUCACCUGGGCCCUGGUGACAAAGCCUUUGGAGAGGCAAGGACCCAGCCGGGGCAUUCACAGUGGGCAUGCUAUCCACCCUCCGCCCCUGUCCUGGCCCCCACAGUGGAGCCGCCACCUUGGGUAACAGGGGCUGCCUGAGGUCCUGGAGAAGGAAGAACCAGGUGGCCCACCUUCGGUGCACAGGGAACAGCAGGGACCUGACGGCAGCCCCCGCACCCCUCCCUGGGCUGAAGUUCAGGCUGUCUCAUCCCUUGCCAGGAGCUCAGGGCUGAGCUAGGUUGGCAGGGGAUGGGUUGAGGGUCUGUUGUCCAGCAGAUUGCCCGGGCCCCACCCAGGCCACUCAGAAAACACCUGUGAGAGCCCCGCAGGCAUGCAGGGCACUGUCGUGAGCACACCAGUGGGGACAGACGUCCAGGCAGGAGGGAGCAGCCAGACCCCCAUCCCGCCAGGGUCACCAGGUGAGCAAGGCUGGGGAACAAUGGAGGCGGAGCCCCGCGACUGCCCAGCUCACUGCCCCCAGUGUCCAGGCUGUGGUGCAGGCGUGGGGACCCAGGUGUGUUCAGGGGUCUCCUUCAGGGAAGGAGACCAAGCUGGGAGUCUGGGGAGGCUGAGGUGUGAGGUGACAGCAGGUAAAGAGUGAGCCACAAUCAGCAUUUUCACAUGAAAGGAAACUACAGGCCUGGGCGCAGUGGCUCACGCCUGUAAUCCCGGCACUGUGGGAGGCUGAGGUGGGAGGAUCACCUGAGGUCGGGAGUUCGAGACCAGCCUGACCAACAUGGAGAAACCCCAUUUCUACUAAAAAAAAUACAAAAUUAGCUGGGCAUGGUGGCGCAUGCCUGUAAUCCUAGCUAUUCGGGAGGCUGAGACAGGAGAAUCACUUGAACCCGGGAGGCGGAGGUUAUGGAGAGCCAAGAUCGCACCACUGCACCCCAGCCUGGGCAACAAGAGUAAAACUCCGUCUCAAAAAAAAAAAAAAAAGAAGAAAGAAAAAGAAAAAAAGAAAGGCAACUACAGAAGGUGAGGAGAACCACCCGAGAUCACCAGAGGGAACCGUGGAAGGUCCGUGGUCCACCAGCCAGGCUGGGGCACCUCAGCCCCUGGGCAGAGCACCAAGCAGGGCCGUGCCCUGGUAAAGGAGGGCACAGUCAGCCCCAGACUACAAGCUGCCUUGGUCCUCCCAGCAGGGCUUAAAAGCAAGACCCCAAAGGACCAAACAGCUUCCAAGUAACUUCCUGGAGUCCUGAGCAAAGUAAGCUUUUCUCAGCUUUGCUACAAAAAUAGUCAGCACCCAGCAAAAUUCACAAUCCCUGUCACCCAUUCAAAAAUCACCAGGCAUGCGAGGAAGCAGGAAAAGGAAAAUGCACCCAGAAGAGAAGGAGCACCCAUCAACGGGGCCGCCUCAGAAGCAACAGACGACCGGGCAAGUCCAAGGGCACCGAGGCACCUGCCACCACUGCGCCCAGCACUCCCGAAGCCAGAGGGCAGAUUGAGGUUCAGAGAAGUCAGAAGCCUUCCCAAGGCUGCACAGCCAGAAGUGGGCACAGCGUCCUGGGGUGAGGGCUCACACCAUCUGCGCCACCUGCCCUCCAGGUCCCACCAUCCUCACAAAUUCAAGGCAAGGUUCUGGAACCCCCAGCCCUCCAGAAAGGGGAAGCUGAGCCCAGGAAGCACAUCUGAGAGUUCGGGUCCGUGAGUUUACCCUGCGCUCACGCCGAUUCCUCCUGCAUCCUCUGUCGGGAUGUCUGGAUUCCAGAGUCCCCACCCUGAUUUUCCAACCUUGCCUCAGCCUUGGCUUCUCCCUUUUGGGGUGGGACAGGGAACCCCAGCAGCAGGUGUAUGAGGGCAUGAGAGGGCAGGAGGUGCCCUAUGCCUACCCGCCAGACCAGGGCCCCAGCCCUGGACACAGGGAGAGAGCAUGAGCGCUGUUCCUGCUCCCACUCCCUCAUCUGAGCAGGUGCUCCCAGGUACAGGUGCCGAGUCCCACCCAGAGGGGCCCUGCCACAACCAGAGGACUGACAAACCCAGACACAACUGUCUCUUCCCCCUGGUCAGGGUCUGGGCAAGGGUCCCUCUGGGCUGCUGUCCAUGCUGUGAGUGUCCGUGCUGUGGGCCACUGCCGUGGGUGUCCGUGCUGUGGCCUGCUGUCGUGGGUGUCCGUGCUGUGGCCCGGUAUGUGAGGUUGUGUUUCCAACAGGGAGUAAUUUGGCUUUGGUUACCUGAGGGUCUGAGGACAGGCACUAAAGCCCCACCUUUCUGGCUUCCAGAGUUGCCGGCUCCAGCAGCAGCCUCCAGGCCUGAGCAGGCUCUGGGGCUCCCACACCUGGGGGGCCAGGGUGGGGGUGACAAAGGGCCCCAGGCGACGGCUGAGAGCCGGCCCUGAGCCGGCCAGGGCGGGCAGCAGAACAGCCACCAGCUCCCGCCAGGCCCUGGCAGCAUGAGCGAUGGCAGGCCCAGCGAUAAGAAACUAAUAAUUUAUGCUUCCAGCUCCCGGGGCCGGCGCCGAGGGAAGGUUGGGCCACAGCCUCCCCCGCACUGAGCGGCUGCAGUCCUUUAUUGCACAAAUUAUUAACGACCAGAGAAUGAAUGACUCUGUAAUCAGAUCAGGUUGCCAGCACUUUUCAUUGCAUUUAUUUGUAUAAAUUCUGAAGUCGGGGUCUGCCCUAAGCUCAGCAAGCCAGCGUCGUGCUGGCUGGGCGCCCAGGCCCCCACCCAGAAGGAACACCCGUCCCUCACCCUGCCCACGGGUUCCAGAGGACAGAGGGCUCAGGAAGGGGUGCAGGGAACUGCUCUGAGCCAGAAGCCGAGUUCAUAGGCACCCAAAGCAGCCCUGGGCCAGGGUCAGAGCUCUGUCCUUGAACCUGCCUCAGGGAAGAUUCCCAACUGUCCUCAGAGCCAGGGGCACCCAGGGCUUGGGAGCUGAAGGGGGGUGGGUCUGAGACCAGGAGAAGGCUCCCCAGCCCUGAGGGAACCCUCAUCACCCCCCUGCUCUCCUCGAUCCAGGAACCGUCCCAGGGUUGCCCCAGGCCUCCUGGCUCUCCCGCCUCCAUCCCGUGGGCUUCCCGGGAGCCCCAGGCUGGUCUCCCACCUGCCCCCUCCUUUUCUGGUCUUGCCUGGGCUGGGCCCAGGGGCUCUGGCUGUGGGUUUUCUGUGCAGCACCUCGCAGUGAGCCUGACGCUGGUCCUCUCCUGAGCCCCCGUUUAAUCUUAUUGACCUCUCGUUACGCUACAGAGCGUAAAUUCAGAUUUAGAGAUCUUAUGUUCCAUCAUAAAUUGGGCUGGCAGACUUCCGAUCAACAAGAUAAAGCUGUCUUCCGUGAGGCUGGUGUUUUAUUAGUCUUGGUCCCAGUGCUGCAGGUGUGGGCUGGGGAGUGCCUGAGGGAGGGGCCUCUGCUUGGGACCCUUCCUGCCUGGGCGAGGGGCUGAGUCCCUCCUGCCGCCCGGGCUGGGCCCCAGGUACCUGGCGAACAAAGGGACCCUGAAAUUGCCGCCUUUCCCCUGCCUCUUGGGCUCUGCAUAUGAUUUCAGCCAAUCCCUGCUGCCCAGCCUCGCCCACCCGCUUCUGGGGCCACCCCCGCGUUAAGCAGGGCUGUGCAGCAUGGGGGUCCUGUUCUCAUUCAGCCACCGGCACGGCCACCCCAGUGUGAUUCCUCAGCAGCCACACAGAAGACAGAUGGUCCAUAGGAGACUCAGAAACAGAGAAGCCUCACGCCAGGUCCACAGAGGCACCCACGCCCGCCAAAAGGAUGCCACGCACUCACCCUGCCCUCUGGGGAGCACAGUGGGAGUCCAGGACACCGCCUUGGAUGGGGUGAGGCUCCGUCUGUGACCUCAGAAAGUCAGUCUGGGGCUGGACUUGACAUGGGAAACAGAAUAAAACUGCCUGUCCACCUGAGCUUGCCGCCCUAAAAAUCCCUGACAUGAUACAGAAGUCAGUGCUGACAGAGGGCCUGCUACCCCCAGUGACCCUGCCGGUGGGGUCUCAACCCACCCACUUCUUCUGGAGCAGCCGGUCACAGCUGUGGUCCUGCUGGCGCACACGGGUAUGAGACCCUAAAACACACAGCGACUGCACAGUGCAACCCUGCAUAUCCCAUUUGGGUACAAGUUUCAUUACAGGAAGAAACACGGGGAGGGACCCCAGAGCAGCUCACGCGUGGGUACCCUCCGCUGUGUUAGCGUCCCGGCCCUCACACGGCACCCAGGCCUCGUUGGGGCAAGGCCUUGUGCAGACACGGUGGGAUCUGCAUGUGCACUGGGGCCUGUGCCUGGGCUGCUGCUCCCCGGCCACCGGUGUCAGGAUCUCCAGGACCCCCAUGAGUGGUCAGUGGAGCAGAGAUGGCACAGACGCCAGCGACCUGGGUCAUUCUCUACCUGGGAUGUGGGACCCCAGAGACCAUGCUGUGGGUCUUUAUCUGCCUCUUCAUGCAGGAGCAGGUGCGACCCCCGCCUGCCCCAGCCAUGAGGCUCUGUCACAGGGGACCUCUGUGGCACCCUGUGCUGCAGGCAAGGCCUUAGGACAGAUGCCACGCCACUGUCCAGGAGACUGUCUCCUGAGACUGACCUCCCCUUGCACUGGGCAAUGUCUGCUGAAGAUAAGGACGUCUUCACUGGGCCAGGCCUGGAGUUCUCCCAGAUCGUGAGCUUUCCUCUCUCUGAUGAAGAGGAUACCUGUGGUCAAACUCCUACAGAGCACUGGGGACAGGAAGGCAGGCAGAGUCCCACCUGGGCAGGUGGUAGGAGUGGAAGGAGCAGGCAGGCAGCAGGGCUGCCCAGGGCUAGGAGUCUGGCUGUGAGCAGGGCCCACCCUCCCCUGGACACAAUGGAGGACCCCGUGUGUGGUUUUCACUGACUGAGCACCUAUCUCGUGCCAGACAUGUGGGAUUGCCGGUGAAUUAACAAAAGCCCUGCUCUCAGGGGGCUCCCAUCCCAGCACAUACACCGUCACAUCUGGGGUCCAGCCUGGACCCCCCCAUGCAGUUGGAGAGGGUCUCAGAACCAGGUCUGAGAACAGCAACUUCCAGCCACGGCACCCCACCCCUCCCCAGCUGGCCUGGGCUCCAGCUCCUCGCACCUGAGGCUGCCUGUGCAGGGCCCCCGGCUGGUGCCCCUCUCCUCUGAAGCUCGGGGGUCGCCACAGCCUGGCACCCUCAUCGGGCCUGUUACGCACGUUCUGGUCUCUCCGUGCCCACAGACCCGCCAAGCUCACCAGCCAAUGUGCAGCCAGCACAAGCCCGACCUGCUAGGGGCCUCAGAACAAGCGGUGUGGCCCGAGGCCGUCACACAGCACCUGUGCUGAGAGUGAGCUGACGUGGACGGCGGCACCGUGGCCGUGGCAGAGGCACCAUCCCUCCACCCUCACUCAUGUAGGGAUGUGGGGCACACGGACUGGAGCCCAAGGCCUUCGUGCUGGGCCCUGGCUCUGCACUCGGCUCCCAGAGUCUCCCACCCAAUGUCAGAGAGGGUGCCGCAACAGUGCUUCGGGGGCUCCUGUCAUGAGGGCUGAGGACCACCUAGGCCCACGUCCGCCCAGCAGGUGGCAGCUGCAUCCCCGGUCCCCUCCACAACCCGGGCCAGGUCCAGGCUGCAGGCCGCAGUGUUGGCAGGGGGAGGAGAGGGUGAAAUUGGCUGAGCCCAUCCAUUGGGACAGACCCUCCCGCUCCUUGGGGCUCUGGAGAACUCUAUUCCUUCUCUUUGCUUAACCUCAAGGUGCUGGGGCCUCUGGCUGCUGCAGCAUUUACAGAGGAAUUGUCUGGGAUGUGCCGGGCCGAGCACUGUAGCUCUCGCCGGUGUCUGCGUCAGCACGCUAGUGACAUGGCAGGUUCAGGUCGGUGGACAGACUGGACUUGGAAACACCUUCUUGCGUCCUCGAAACGACGUGGCACGCAGCCAGCUCACAGCACCCAAAGGCACGGGCAAGUUGCAUCACGGCAGCCCCUCCUGUCUGACCAGGAGCAGGUGCGUUCCUGAGGUCCUGGCCACUUCUGCAGGAGCGUCCGAGGGAGCCCAGCUGAUAUACCACAGCCCCUGACCUCCCAGGUUAGCCUUUCCAUCCAACAGCACCAGGACUGGACAGGCCACCUUG
This 9021-nucleotide long non-coding RNA is filed under the name Homo sapiens (human). Its description in RNAcentral is "HSALNT0289683". Lineage: Eukaryota; Metazoa; Chordata; Mammalia; Primates; Hominidae. The record is from RNAcentral.